AAGGAUGUUCUAAGCCUACUUGAUCCGAGAUGGAUCGACCUUGCUCUGAUACCAACUAUGUAACACCCUAAACCCCAUACGCGUACUUAUUAACUUAAAUAAAUAAACAUGUGGACAUUUAGAGUAUUACAUUUUAAAUGAGAACAUACGAUCAUACAUGAUAUAUUCAUUUACAAAGCAGCGGAAUGAAAAACACAUGUCCUAAAGAUUAAUCAUGCAUUUAUCUCAAAUAUCCAAUUAACCAUUUUUCAUAAUACUCAUCAUAUGAAUUACUCAUGCAUUUCAUAACAUAAAUUUCACAUAUGAAAGUAAGGCUAUCAAAGCCACAUACAUCCGACAUAUAUAAGAUAUAAAGUAAAUAUCAACUUGUCCCGAUGUUACACUACCAGAGCGACACUAGGUACUAUUAUUACAUCCCAAAAUAAAUAAAACAAAAUAAACGGAGAGGCAUCUCGCCAAUCUCCUCGCCAAAAUAAGCAAGCAAGUAAACAACUACUCCUCGACAGCAGUAUCCUUGACCUGGGAACCUGAAUCCCCAACGGUCCAGCACAUACACAAAACAGAGAGUUAGUUAUCAAAAUUCACAUAAAGUGUAAGUAAUCAUGCAUACAAAACACCUUAAUUAAUUAAGCACAAAAACUAAAAUUGUCUCACAUCACAAUUAAAUACAAGAUUAAAUCACAAAUAAUCAAGUACAAUUGAUUAAUGUCAAUAUCAUUCAUCUCCUAAAUGCAAACUAAUGUCACAACAAUGAAAUGUUCUCUUAACAUUUACUAAGUGCAUGUGGUACCGUCUAGCUCAACUAUAUUGGACCAACCGAAUCCAAAUCUCAACUAUCUCAACAAUAUCAUCACAAAGGAUGCUCAACUAUUAUGCAUCAAUGGAAUGCAUGAAUGAUCAAGUACCAAACAUAUGAUACUACUCAACUAUAAAUCAUCAUGAUAAAUGGAUAACAUAAUCCAAUAAUACUCAUCAUCAUGUCUCAACUAUAAUAUCUCAUUCAUCAACACAACAAUCAAUUAUUACAAAACAAUUAACAAGUAUACACUUAUUAAAUUACUCAUAAACAUCUUUUCGAAACCUAAUAAAUACUCCCAAGUUAUGCUUCAAUGAAUGAGAAGUAAAUUCAAUCAAAUAAGCAUACGAAAUACAUCAAAUAUAUAUAAAGUAUGUCAACAUAUAAGCAAACUGUAUAAACCAAGCCUUAUCUCAGAAAACUAACCCCGGAAAUGGAAUCUACGCGAAAAACUGUGGAAAAUAGGUUACGGGUGCAUAAGUCAACAAAAGUUAAAAAAAAUUAAACAAACAGUAGCGUCGAUCAUAGCGUCGACCAGUGUUCGACGCAAAUCUGCAGAAUUGCGUUUUGGACCCGGGGUUCCUCAAAUAAUCACUUAAAACCCAGGAAAAUGAAGUUUAAAGGUUCUAAAACACAUACCAAUCAAUUAGUUAACUUAUAGCUUAUUCAAAAGCACUUAAAACAACUUAAAAUCAUCAAACAACUCAUUAAUUCAUGGAUUUUUACUUAUUAGUCAUAAUAAAGCAUGAAGAAUCAUAUAUCAACACAUAAAGCUUUGGAAUUAAAUCAUAUUCUCAAAUCCCCAACCAAAACCCAAAUAAGAUGAAAAGAGUUUGGGAAUGGAGGAAAAGGUUUCCUCCCCUCUCAUUAAGCUUGUCUCAAAGAAUUUCAUAACCACUCUCUUACCUUAACAAUUUGUUGGAAACUUUGGUCUUCCUCUUCAAUUCCUAAGCUUGUUCUCUCACUCUUAAUUUUUCUUCAAGAACUCUCCAAAACCCUUCUUUUACGUUUUUCCCUUUUUAUGACCAAAUACUCAUAUUUAUUAACUUUCUCAUCUAAACCUAAUUUCAUUACCUCACUACUUAAACAACCCUUUUU
This 1894-nucleotide long non-coding RNA is filed under the name Trifolium pratense (red clover). RNAcentral's name for it is "long non-coding RNA (TPRA_LNC012769)". The record is from RNAcentral. Lineage: Eukaryota; Viridiplantae; Streptophyta; Magnoliopsida; Fabales; Fabaceae.